Long non-coding RNA from Hylaeus volcanicus, 711 nucleotides. RefSeq lists it as uncharacterized. The record is from RefSeq and is a predicted model, not a curated record. NCBI's taxonomy places the organism in Eukaryota, Metazoa, Arthropoda, Insecta, Hymenoptera, Colletidae. The transcript is spliced from 3 exons.
AAAAUACAUGACGACAUUGCCGAAAACCCGUCGACACUUACGAAACAUUCAGCCCCGUCUUAUCGUCUCCGCCUAACGGAGAUCUCUCGCUUCUCUUCCUUCGAUAAGAUGCUUCUCGUUCCCUGGAAAUAUUCGAUUCACGACGAGAAGGUGAGACUCACUUUACGGUGAAACUCGUCAAGAGGAUUCGUAUUUCCGACGAAUUUCCAAGUUGUGAAAACAUUUUCCUGCGACAAGGUUGAAAAUAAUCUGUGACGAUUAAUAACGAUAGUAACGAUAACGAUUAUUUUAAAAGACAAUUCGUGUUCAAGUAACGCACUGUUUUUCUAUUCAAACAUUUCAGACUUACCCAUAUGCCGUUAGGUAAAUUAAAGAAAUAACGUGUGUAUUAUUUGCAAAAUUGUACACAAAGGUUUUGCAUAUUGUAUCACAUAAAUUAUUGGACAUGCUUACGAUCCUGGAUACUGUCUCUGGAAAUUAAGUAAAUUAAUAUGUAUAUUUCAUCGUAUGAGUAUUAUUUCCUCCUAUUACUAGUAAUUCUUCCAGUAUACCUUUUUUUUAAAUUAUGGUCAUGGCUGGGCUGGCAAUUGUUUGUAAAUAAUUAAUAUUAUGUACAUUUUGUAGUCGAUUAAUUUUACUAAUGUUUCUUGUUAUUUUUAAAUUAUCCAAGUUUCGUUUUUGUGAAAUUUUAGCCUCGUGCAGCUUAAUAAC